AUGGAGUUUCAUUUCAUCUAUGUUUUCCUUGUUACUGUAUUAACAGGGGUCCAGUGUGAGGUGCAGCUGGUGGAGUCUGGGGGGAGCUUGGUGAAGCCUGGGGGGUCUCUGAGACUCUCCUGUGCAGCCUCUGGAUUCACCUUCAGUAGCUACUAUAUGAACUGGGUCCGCCAGGCUCCUGGGAAGGGACUGGAAUGGAUCUCAGCAAUUGCUGGUAGUAGCACAUACUAUGCCAACUCUGUGAAGGGCCGAUUCACCAUCUCCACAGACAAUGGGAAGAACACACUCUACCUGCAGAUGAACAGCCUGAGACCUGAGGACACGGCCAUGUAUUACUGUGAGAGAGACACAGUGAGAGGAAGUCAUUGUGAGCCCAGACACAAACCUCCCUGA
Molecule: non-coding RNA, 393 nt
Organism: Phyllostomus hastatus (greater spear-nosed bat)
Lineage: Eukaryota; Metazoa; Chordata; Mammalia; Chiroptera; Phyllostomidae
Source: the annotation of a RefSeq genome assembly